GAUGAAGAACGCAGCGAAGUGCGAUAAGUAAUGUGAAUUGCAGAAUUCCGUGAAUCAUCGAAUCUUUGAACGCAAAUUGCACUCUCUGGUAUCCCGGGGAGUAUGCCUGUUUGAGGGUCAGUGUUAAUAAAAAUCGGUGCGUUGCACUUUAUUGUGACGUUCUGGAGUUUGAGUUAUCUUAACUUUUAGGUUAAGAGGCUUAAAAUUGACCUUUUUUUGUGCAUUUUAGACGUACAUAAAUUUUCUUUUAUUUGUCUUUUAAUGCCAAAAUUACAUUAGAUGCGACCAUAUCGUGUGGUUUCGUGUCUAUAAAUUUUUCAUGAUUUGACCUCAAAUCAGGUAGGAGUACCCGCUGAACUUAAGCAUAUCAAUAAGCGGAGGA
RNAcentral lists this unclassified non-coding RNA (382 nucleotides) under soil metagenome. Its description in RNAcentral is "partial contains 5.8S ribosomal RNA, internal transcribed spacer 2, and large subunit ribosomal RNA". The stretch from base 1 to 120 matches the Rfam family "5.8S ribosomal RNA", at positions 35 to 154 of the family's 154-position model. The record is from RNAcentral.